Small nucleolar RNA from Callorhinchus milii (elephant shark), 223 nucleotides. Its record names the gene SNORA73. It matches the Rfam family "Small nucleolar RNA SNORA73 family". Rfam says of the family: U17 (SNORA73A and SNORA73B) also known as E1 belongs to the H/ACA class of small nucleolar RNAs (snoRNAs). Vertebrate U17 is intron-encoded and ranges in length from 200-230 nucleotides, longer than most snoRNAs. NCBI's taxonomy places the organism in Eukaryota, Metazoa, Chordata, Chondrichthyes, Chimaeriformes, Callorhinchidae. The record is from Ensembl.
CCAAUGAGGGCGUCCAUGGGAGUUCGCUCUCCCGUGGCUCUGUCCGAGUGGCGUAUGGGAGCGUAGGCCUCUGGGCCCUUGACGUACAGUCCCAUUCCACAGCGUUGGAGAGAGUGCCUGUCCCCGGCCCUUGGGCUGGUGAGGACAGCAGCCUGUAUAUUCCUAUACCUUCUCAGAGUCCAGCGGGCAAUGACUGAGGAGAUAAACCAUGCAGGGUACAAUU